Arabidopsis thaliana (thale cress) is the source of this 69-nucleotide small RNA. It matches the Rfam family "TeloSII non coding RNA 45". Rfam says of the family: Located downstream of the TeloSII elements. These elements have been shown to coordinate the expression of protein-coding gene related to ribosome biogenesis throughout the cell cycle in Arabidopsis. The record is from Rfam. NCBI's taxonomy places the organism in Eukaryota, Viridiplantae, Streptophyta, Magnoliopsida, Brassicales, Brassicaceae.
AUAUAUUUCAUACAGGUUAUGUCUAUCGUCACUCACAUAUGCACAUACAGGCUUGUGUUGAAUAUGGUC